RNAcentral lists this transfer RNA (75 nucleotides) under Segetibacter sp. RNAcentral's name for it is "tRNA-Ser". The record is from RNAcentral. Lineage: Bacteria; Pseudomonadati; Bacteroidota; Chitinophagia; Chitinophagales; Chitinophagaceae.
GGAUAUUUCCUGAAAACAGUGUUACACUGGCUUUUAACCAUUGGGUCGAAGGUUCGAGUCCUUCUCGGAUCACCA